UACGUAGGGGGCAAGCGUUGUCCGGAAUUAUUGGGCGUAAAGAGCGUGUAGGCGGUCCGGUAAGUCAGCUGUGAAAGUCAAGGGCUCAACCCUUGAAUGCCGGUUGAUACUGUCGGGCUAGAGUCCGGAAGAGGCGAGUGGAAUUCCCGGUGUAGCGGUGAAAUGCGCAGAGUAUCGGGAGGACACCGAUGGCGAAGGCAGGUCUCUGGACCAUAACUGACGCUGAGAAGCGAAAGCAUGGGGAGCGAACAGG
This 253-nucleotide ribosomal RNA is filed under the name uncultured bacterium. RNAcentral describes it as "partial 16S ribosomal RNA". It matches the Rfam family "Bacterial small subunit ribosomal RNA", at positions 524 to 776 of the family's 1533-position model. The record is from RNAcentral.